GUGCCAGCCGCCGCGGUAAUACCGGCAGCCCGAGUGAUGGCCGAUCUUAUUGGGCCUAAAGCGUCCGUAGCUGGCCGACCAAGUCUCCCGGGAAAUCCACCCGCCCAACGGGUGGGCGUCCGGUAGAAACUGGCCGGCUUGGAACCGGAAGGCUCGGAGAGUACGUCCGGGGUAGGAGUGAAAUCCUGUAAUCCUGGACGGACCGCCGGUGGCGAAAGCGCCUCGGGAAGACGGACCCGACAGUGAGGGACGAAAGCUGGGAUCUCGAAUCGGAUUAGAUACCCGGGUAGUCC
This 293-nucleotide ribosomal RNA is filed under the name uncultured bacterium. RNAcentral's name for it is "partial 16S ribosomal RNA". It matches the Rfam family "Archaeal small subunit ribosomal RNA", at positions 455 to 747 of the family's 1478-position model. The record is from RNAcentral.